Long non-coding RNA from Puntigrus tetrazona (Sumatra barb), 518 nucleotides. RefSeq lists it as uncharacterized. The transcript has 3 exons. The record is from RefSeq and is a predicted model, not a curated record. NCBI's taxonomy places the organism in Eukaryota, Metazoa, Chordata, Actinopteri, Cypriniformes, Cyprinidae.
CAGCUUUGGUUGAUGCAUGAUCAAUGAAGACCAAGAAACGGGUGAUGAAGGUGAAAAAAAAAGGGCCGGUUAUUAUAAAGACACUGUUAUAAGUGAAGUGAAUAAAAAGUCUCAACUGGAAAAGUAAUGAAUGAAGAAGCACCUGUUAUAAGUGACUGAGCAGCAGACAGCUAAGCCACGGGGAGUCUGAUGCCUUCACACUACAGUAAAAAAAAAAAUUAUGAAAACUGUUGCUAAAGCAUUAACAUUACUCAAAAUUAAUUCACUACAUAUACGUAAUCUUAUCCUUUACUUUAUUCAAAGUGAAAGUAAAAUAAAUAUGUUUGCAUGUGUUACUUUUUGUUUGCUUGCCGUUAAUUACAUAACGUAAGUGGCUUUUGGAAUAUAAGCAGAUGAAGUAGUAGAUGAUAAAAUGAAUAGUGAAGGUGAAAUAUUGUUGAAUUAACUAACAUGAUUCAUAUUCUCUUGGUUUCUGUAAACAAUAUUCUUAACAAUUUCAAAUAAAAAAAAUAAAAACA